UAAAAACAUUGGAGAUAGUUGAAAAUUAAUUUAUCCAUCCUAUUAAACGAAAGGAAUUCAGUGUUCCCGUUAAAAAGUAAUAUAUACAAAUGCAUGAGAAACGAUAUUCAAAUUCAAAACCAUUCACCUGACAGUUUCUGAAACUGACAAUCAAAACAUUAUGCAUUAAAAUUAAAUUACAUUUUUUUCUCUUCUUCCAGUGGGG
Molecule: unclassified non-coding RNA, 205 nt
Filed under: Hevea brasiliensis (rubber tree)
Lineage: Eukaryota; Viridiplantae; Streptophyta; Magnoliopsida; Malpighiales; Euphorbiaceae
Source: RNAcentral